UAAAACUUUAUUUUAAAUUUUAGAAUAAAGAAUUGUAAAUUCUUAGGUAAUAGUUUUGU
This 59-nucleotide transfer RNA is filed under the name Thelazia callipaeda (thelaziosis nematode). RNAcentral describes it as "tRNA-Tyr". The record is from RNAcentral. Lineage: Eukaryota; Metazoa; Nematoda; Chromadorea; Rhabditida; Thelaziidae.